RNAcentral lists this ribosomal RNA (406 nucleotides) under uncultured bacterium. RNAcentral describes it as "partial 16S ribosomal RNA". It matches the Rfam family "Bacterial small subunit ribosomal RNA", at positions 30 to 526 of the family's 1533-position model. The record is from RNAcentral.
AUUGAACGCUGGCGGCAGGCCUAACACAUGCAAGUCGACCGCGUGGAGCACGGGUGAGUAAUGUCUGGGACACUGCCCGAUGGAGGGGUAUAACUACUGGAAACAGUAGCUCAUACCGAAUUCUAUCGUAUGUGCCGAGAUGGGUUUAGCUAGUAGGUGGGGUAACGGCUCACAUAGGCCACGAUCCCUAGCUGGUCUGAGAGGCUGACCAGCCACACGGGAACUGAGACACGGUCCAGACUCCUACGGGAGGCAGCAGUGGGGAAUAUUGCACAAUGGGCGCAAGCCUGAUGCAGCCAUGCCGCGUGUGUGAAGAAGGCCUUCGGGUUGUAAAGUACUUUCAGCGGGGAGGCGUUACUCGCAGAAGAAGCACCGGCUAACUCCGUGCCAGCAGCCGCGGUAAUUC